CUGCUAUGGGCAUGGGGGUGUAAGAGUUGAGGAGGGUCCCCGCUACGGGCAUGGGGGUGUAAGAUUUGAGGGAGCCCCCUAUGGGCAUGGGGGUGUAAGAGUUGAGGAGGGCCCCCCCUACAGGCAUGGGGGUGUAAGAGUUGAGGAGGGUCCCCGCUACGGGCAUGGGGGUGUAAGAGUUGAGGAGGGCCCCCCCACCAUGGGCAUGGGGGUGUAAUAGUUGAGGAGGGAGCCCCCUACAGUCAUGGGGGUGUAAGAGUUGAGGAGGGAGCCCCCUACAGGCAUGGGGGGUGUAAUAGUUGAGGAGGGAGCCCCCUACGGGCAUGGGGGUGUAAGAGUUGAUGAGGGAGCUUCCUAUGGGGCUAUGGGUUGAGGAGAGUUGAGGAGGGAGGCUCAUUAUGGAUUAUGGGUAUAAGAGUUUUAGAAUGAGCCUUAUAGAGGUGUGGGGGGUAUUAAAGUUAAGGUUAUGGGGUUGGUGGUGAAAAUUGAGGAUUGAGUCUCCUACAGGGGUGAGGGACAUGAUGGAUGUUGAGUAAGCCUCCUUUAGGGUUAGGGGUUGAGGAGGUAUGAAAGGUAGGGAAGUUGGGGAGUGAGACUCCAAUGGGGUUAGGGCGUGUGAGAGUUGAGAAGUGAGUCUCUUGUAGGGUUAUAGAUGUAAGAGUUGAGAAGGGAGUCUUCUACAUGGGAUUGGCGGGGGGCGGGGGCUCAAGAGUUGAGGAUUGUGCCUCACUAAGGAUCAUGGAUGUAAGAGUUGAGGAGUGAGCUUAAUACAGGGGUAGGGGUAUAAGGAUGGAGUUUCCAAUGGGAUUGGGGUGUGAAUGCUCAGAUACGAGACUCCAAUGGGGACAGGGACAUGAGAGUUUUAUUAGGUAGAAUCCUUCAGGGUUAGGGAUUGAGGAGGGAGCGUCCUGCAGGUGUGGAAGUAUGAAAAUUGAGGAGCAAGUCUCCUAUAUAGGGUUUGGGUGUGAGAGAUGAGGAGUGAGUCUUCCAUGUGGUUGCUAGAUUUGAGAAGUGAGCCUCUUUUAGCAUUAUGGGUAUACGAGGUAAGGAAUGAGCCCCAGGAACUAUGGGCUUAAGAGUUGAGGAGUGAGCCCCCUACAGGCCUGGUGGUGUAAUAGUUGAGUAGUGAGCCUUUCACAGGUGCAGAGUUAUAAGAGUUGACAUGUUGAGCCACUUACAGGGUUUGGGGUGUGAGAGGGAAGGAGUGAUCCUCGUACAGGGACGUCAUAGUUAUGAGCCCACCAUGCACUAAACAAGAGCACCAGUUGCUCGACAGGCUAAGCUGCUCCAUUGUUCACUCUGAAGUGGGGCCUGAGGUGGAAAGCGAAGUGAAGCUGGAAGUGAAGUGACACGCUGCAGGUACACUUGCAAUACGUGAUGAAAAUGUCACAACGUGGGCUGAAGCAAAUCUGAAAUGCUCCUCAGCCUUCUCGACAGAGCCCACCCUAACGGUGCGACGAAGCUCCGAUACUGCUGUUCCUUUUGUGACGCACACAGGAGUGGAGACAAUGGGCGCAGGGCAGGAGCUGUCGUUGGAGGGGAUGCCAACCCAGACAGGCACAGAAAAUGUCUACUAAUGCAGUUGCUAAGUCAUCGAUGAGCAUUUUUUUUUCUUCCAUUACCAUAGCUUGAUAUGGUGACCCAGCUAAUGUUCUUUUUACACAAAAAUAUAACAAUGCAAUUCAAGUAAAUUGAUACAUCAAA
Molecule: long non-coding RNA, 1704 nt
Organism: Erpetoichthys calabaricus (reedfish)
Lineage: Eukaryota; Metazoa; Chordata; Cladistia; Polypteriformes; Polypteridae
Exons: 3
Source: RefSeq, a predicted model, not a curated record